CGGAUUAGUGGCGAACGGGUGAGUAACAUAUCGGAACGUACCCAGUAAUGGGGGAUAACUAGUCGAAAGACUGGCUAAUACCGCAUACGCCCUGAGGGGGAAAGCGGGGGGAUCGAAAGACCUCGUGUUAUUGGAGCGGCCGAUAUCUGAUUAGCUAGUUGGUGGGGUAAAGGCCUACCAAGGCGACGAUCAGUAGCUGGUCUGAGAGGACGACCAGCCACACUGGAACUGAGACACGGUCCAG
Molecule: ribosomal RNA, 244 nt
Filed under: uncultured bacterium
Lineage: Bacteria
Description: partial 16S ribosomal RNA
Rfam family: Bacterial small subunit ribosomal RNA
Source: RNAcentral